GUGGGCCAGACUCUAAAGAUUCUGGAUGCAUGUACUCUAAUAGUGUGAUUAGUAUGCAUCUCACAAUUUAUAGCCAGAAUGUCACACCGCCACAAGCGGGGAGGUGUGUUGUGUGUUUAUUUUGUCCUUUUUUGGGAGUGUGAGAGGUGCUUGGUGGGUUUUCUUUUUUGUUUGUCUGUGUGUGGUUUCUGUCUCUCUCCCUCUCGCUCGUCCUUUCCUUCCUCUCCCUCAGGGCGGAGUUGUGGGCAGCGCCACUGGAACACUGGGCAUUUCUCCCCAGCUGCAGGCAAUCUGCUUUUGGCACACCUGUCUCCUGUGAUCAUCAGGACUGGCUCUUAUACCCUGCCAUCUCCUCAGUUCCCUGCUGGAUUAUUAAGUCAUGUCUAGACCCUGCUCUGCUCUUGUGCCACUCUGAUUACGGAGAAUGCCUAGUUGGAGAUUCACCAUCAGACUCACUUCUCAGUCCGCCACCCAUUUCCCUGACUUGCCUGCCUGCGCUCUUACCCGCCACACCAGAGGCACCUUUCCCCCAGCAUCAAACCUGUCUCACCAAAUCUUGUGUUCAAUAAACUGUGUGAAAACCUU
Molecule: long non-coding RNA, 585 nt
Organism: Micropterus salmoides (largemouth bass)
Lineage: Eukaryota; Metazoa; Chordata; Actinopteri; Centrarchiformes; Centrarchidae
Exons: 2
Source: RefSeq, a predicted model, not a curated record